Molecule: ribosomal RNA, 333 nt
Filed under: uncultured bacterium
Lineage: Bacteria
Description: bacterial SSU rRNA
Rfam family: Bacterial small subunit ribosomal RNA
Source: RNAcentral
AAUGAACGCUAGUAGUAUGCUUAACACAUGCAAGUCGAACGUAAAGUUUUACACUUUCGUGGCGUACGGGUGAGUAAAUGCAGAAUUCUUCCUUCCAGUUCAGUACAAAAUUGCUUCUAGUAAUAAAUUCUGAAUAUUUUUAAAGGUUUAUUCCGCUGAAAGAUGAAUCUGCUUAAGAUUAGGUUGUUGGUAAUUUAAAAGUUUAACCAAGCCGAUGAUCUUUAGUUGGUCUGAGAGGAUGAUCAACCACACUGGAACUGAAACAAGGUCCAGGCUAAUUCGUUGGCCAGCAGUGAGGAAUAUUGGAGUCAAUGAACGAAAGUUUGAUCCAGC